This 283-nucleotide ribosomal RNA is filed under the name uncultured bacterium. Its description in RNAcentral is "partial 16S ribosomal RNA". It matches the Rfam family "Bacterial small subunit ribosomal RNA", at positions 28 to 310 of the family's 1533-position model. The record is from RNAcentral.
GACGAACGCUGGCGGCGUGCUUAACACAUGCAAGUCGAGCGGUAAGGCCCUUUCGGGGUACACGAGCGGCGAACGGGUGAGUAACACGUGGGUGACCUGCCCUCAGCUCUGGGAUAAGCCUGGGAAACCGGGUCUAAUACUGGAUAUGACUCCAUGACGCAUGUUGUGGGGUGGAAAGCCUUGUGCGGCUGAGGAUGGGCCCCGCGGCCUAUCAGCUUGGUUGGUGGGGUGACNGGCCUACCAAGGCGACGACGGGUAGCCGGCCUGAGAGGGCGACCGGCCA